RNAcentral lists this ribosomal RNA (464 nucleotides) under uncultured bacterium. RNAcentral's name for it is "bacterial SSU rRNA". It matches the Rfam family "Bacterial small subunit ribosomal RNA", at positions 30 to 478 of the family's 1533-position model. The record is from RNAcentral.
AGCGAACGUUUGCGGCGGGCUUAACACAUGCAAGUCGAACGGGCUGUUCCUUCGGGGGCAGUCAGUGGCGCACGGGUGCGUAACACGUAGGUAAUCAACCCUCUGGUUGGGGAUAACACUUCGAAAGGAGUGCUAAUACCCGGUAUGGCGCAGCGGUCUUCGGAUCGCGGCGAGAAAGACCCGCAAGGGUUGCCAGAGGACGAGCCUGCGGCCCAUCAGCUAGUUGGCGAGGUAACGGCUCACCAAGGCGAAGACGGGUAGCUGGUCUGAGAGGAUGAUCAGCCACACUGGAACUGAGACACGGUCCAGACUCCUACGGGAGGCAGCAGUGGGGAAUAUUGCGCAAUGGGCGAAAGCCUGACGCAGCCACGCCGCGUGAGCGAUGAAGGCCUCGGUCGUAAGACGUCUCGUGGGAGGAGGAAGAAGUAAAAGAACCGUACGUGUAAGGAAGACGAGGACCGUUC